This 75-nucleotide transfer RNA is filed under the name Candidatus Faecalibacterium gallistercoris. Its description in RNAcentral is "tRNA-Gly". It matches the Rfam family "tRNA". Rfam says of the family: Transfer RNA (tRNA) molecules are approximately 80 nucleotides in length. Lineage: Bacteria; Bacillati; Bacillota; Clostridia; Eubacteriales; Oscillospiraceae. The record is from RNAcentral.
GCGGGUAUAGUACAUCGGCUAGUAUAACAGCCUUCCAAGCUGUGGAGGUCGGUUCGACUCCGAUUACCCGCUCCA